CAGCAGAAAGGCUGUCCCUCCAUUCUUCCAGGGCAAGCUGCUGCGCACCAUCCUCUUCGGGGUCAAGAGGGUGACUGCGAACAACCUGGAGACCUUCAUCUUCAUCCUCUUCCUCCUGGUGUUUGCCAUCGCUGCAGCCGCCUAUGUAUGGAUUGAAGGUAAACGCCACGGCCUCUGUGGUCCCCUGCGCCCGCCCUCCGAGGCUCCAGGCUGGCAGGCCCUGUCUCCACAGGUACCAAGGACCCCAGCCGGAACCGCUACAAGCUGUUUCUGGAGUGCACCCUGAUCCUCACCUCGGUCGUGCCUCCUGAGCUGCCCAUCGAGCUGUCCCUGGCCGUCAACACCUCCCUCAUUGCCCUGGCCAAGCUCUGUGAGUGUGUCAAAUGGGGUAGGGUGCCAAGUGGGCUGGGGCCAAGCAGGACCCCUGACCUCACUCCCGCCCCUAGACAUGUACUGCACAGAGCCCUUCCGGAUCCCCUUUGCUGGCAAGGUCGAGGUGUGCUGCUUUGACAAGACGGGGACCUUGACCAGUGACAGCCUGGUGGUGCGCGGUGUGGCCGGGCUGAGAGACGGGAAGGAGGUGACCCCAGUGUCCAGCAUCCCUGUAGAAACACACCGGGCCCUGGCCUCGUGCCACUCGCUCAUGCAGCUGGACGACGGCACCCUCGUGGGUGAUCCUCUAGAGAAGGCCAUGCUGACGGCCGUGGACUGGACGCUGACCAAAG
RNAcentral lists this small RNA (725 nucleotides) under Pongo abelii (Sumatran orangutan). Its description in RNAcentral is "retained intron". The record is from RNAcentral. Lineage: Eukaryota; Metazoa; Chordata; Mammalia; Primates; Hominidae.